This 315-nucleotide ribosomal RNA is filed under the name uncultured Endogone. RNAcentral describes it as "partial large subunit ribosomal RNA". It matches the Rfam family "Eukaryotic large subunit ribosomal RNA", at positions 40 to 350 of the family's 3401-position model. Lineage: Eukaryota; Fungi; Mucoromycota; Endogonomycetes; Endogonales; Endogonaceae. The record is from RNAcentral.
AUAUCAAUAAGCGGAGGAAAAGAAACUAACAAGGAUUCCCUUAGUAACGGCGAGUGAAGUGGGAAAAGCUCAAAUUUAAAAUCUGGUAGGGUAUCCUGCCCGAGUUGUAGUUUCGAGAAGUGUUUUCGGUACGCGCCUGGGUAUAAGUCCUUUGGAACAGGGCAUCAUAGAGGGUGAGAAUCCCGUUUAUGACCCGGAGUGGCGUACUAUGUGAUACACUUUCUAAGAGUCAGGUUGUUUGGGAAUGCAGCCUAAAAUGGGUGGUAAAUUUCAUCUAAAGCUAAAUACAGGCGAGAGACCGAUAGCGCACAAGUA